UUUAGAAAAUGAAAAGGUCAC
Non-coding RNA from Caenorhabditis elegans, 21 nucleotides. The record is from Ensembl. Lineage: Eukaryota; Metazoa; Nematoda; Chromadorea; Rhabditida; Rhabditidae.